This 424-nucleotide ribosomal RNA is filed under the name Verrucomicrobiota bacterium. RNAcentral's name for it is "Verrucomicrobia bacterium partial 16S ribosomal RNA". It matches the Rfam family "Bacterial small subunit ribosomal RNA", at positions 355 to 776 of the family's 1533-position model. The record is from RNAcentral. Lineage: Bacteria; Pseudomonadati; Verrucomicrobiota.
UGAGGAAUAUUGGUCAAUGGGCGAGAGCCUGAACCAGCCAAGUAGCGUGCAGGAUGACGGCCCUAUGGGUUGUAAACUGCUUUUAUGCGGGGAUAAAGUGCGUGACGUGUCGUGCAUUGCAGGUACCGCAUGAAUAAGGACCGGCUAAUUCCGUGCCAGCAGCCGCGGUAAUACGGAAGGUCCGGGCGUUAUCCGGAUUUAUUGGGUUUAAAGGGAGCGUAGGCCGCCAGAUAAGCGUGUUGUGAAAUGUACCGGCUCAACCGGUGAAUUGCAGCGCGAACUGUUUGGCUUGAGUGCACGGUAAGCAGGCGGAAUUCAUGGUGUAGCGGUGAAAUGCUUAGAUAUCAUGAAGAUCUCCGAUUGCGAAUGCAGCUUGCUGCAGUGCGACUGACGCUGAUGCUCGAAGGUGCGGGUAUCAAACAGG